This 433-nucleotide ribosomal RNA is filed under the name uncultured bacterium. Its description in RNAcentral is "partial 16S ribosomal RNA". It matches the Rfam family "Bacterial small subunit ribosomal RNA", at positions 29 to 506 of the family's 1533-position model. The record is from RNAcentral.
AGCGAACGCUGGCGGCAGGCCUAACACAUGCAAGUCGAACGAACCUUUCGGGGUUAGUGGCGGACGGGUGAGUAACACGUGGGAACGUGCCUUUAGGUUCGGAAUAACUCAGGGAAACUUGUGCUAAUACCGAAUGUGCCCUUCGGGGGAAAGAUUUAUCGCCUUUAGAGCGGCCCGCGUCUGAUUAGCUAGUUGGUUGAGGUAAUGGCUCACCAAGGCGACGAUCAGUAGCUGGUCUGAGAGGAUGAUCAGCCACAUUGGGACUGAGACACGGCCCAAACUCCUACGGGAGGCAGCAGUGGGGAAUCUUGCGCAAUGGGCGAAAGCCUGACACAGCCAUGCCGCGUGAAUGAUGAAGGUCUUAGGAUUGUAAAAUUCUUUCACCGGGGACGAUAAUGACGGUACCCGGAGAAGAAGCCCCGGCUAACUUCGU